GUUAGAUAGGACUAGGAGUCAAAGAGGAUUCUGGGAAAUGUAGUAGAGAAGUGGUGAUCCAGGCAGGAAGUGACAUAGCAAGGAGACUCAUAUUUAAGCAAAGGAAACAGGAAGUGUCCCCUUUUCUCCUCCUUUCUUCCUCCAGCAGCGCAAUGUGAUCCACCGGCAAGGAGGGAUGCCAAUAAGGUGUCCGAUAAGAUAAGUCUUAUAAAAUAUAUAGAUUUAUGAUAAUUAAAACUGAGCUAGCAGAUGAGAAUCCUAGUCAUUGGCCAAGCAGCAUUUGAACCUAAUACAAGUCCCUCUGUGUAUUAAUUUGGGCCCUAACUCUGGUGGGCGGCUGGUGUAAAGCGCACACGUGCUGGUGGGGCUCAGCGGCUUUUGGUGGAAAGAUUUAUCGUAAUAUAAGGCCAGUGGAGAGAGGAGUACAGUCUAGGCAGUCUGAGGAGCAGUGCAGUCUGGAUAUGCAAUCAGAGGACAUGAUCGCCCCUUCGGUCUGAGCAUCCAUUGAGAGCCUUCAUCCAGCAGCUGGAAGUAGAAGCAGACACCCACAGCUAAACACUGAACUGAACUGGAAUCCAGUUGCAGAGAAGGAGGAGUGACGAGCAAAGGGGUCCAGACCAGGCUGGUGAAACCCACAGAAACAGCUGACCUGAACAAGAGGGAGCUCUUGGUCCCCAGACUGAUAGCUGGGAAACCAGCAUGGGACUGAUCCAGACUCCAUGAAUUUUUACAUAUGGCCUCUAACCCAUCUGGAAAUCAUUUUGAAGGCAUUUAUUCCUCACAGUUGUGGAGACUGGAAGCUCAGAAGCAAGUGCCAAAUGGCUCUGCCUCAGAGCAUGGAUGACUCGGAGGCAAUUUGUAUCACCAUGAGCUCACACCAAUAUGAGUGACAGUUCAUAAAAGCUUUGAGCCCUGGAGCUCUUUACUCAACUUGCAGGAAGCUCUUCAGGUUGGAGAGCCUUCUCUCCUCAGCAGCUGGCCUGGCUCAUUUCCUUCAAACCUGCAGAUUUCUUAGACAUGCACAUCAUCUGACUGGACUGUUGCAUGCCAAGCAGCCCAGACACCUGCUCAAGCUCAGUCAGCAUGUCUUCCAAAGCCCCAAGGCUUCCUUCAGCUGCCUGCUCCCUUCAAACGUGGCAGAGUUUCUCUUUGAAGCCGACUUUCUCACACUCUACCCUGCCACCAAGGUUACCCUCUCAUGUUCAGGAGACAAUUCACUGCCAUUGGCUGAGCUCUGUAAUAAUGGAACACUGUAGCACCUCUUUCUUCUUCCUCUACAAACGUCUAGAAGGUCAGUUCUGCUCUCAGUCUAGAUCUCAGAGGUAUCCCCCUACACACACAGACACACAUGCACACAUACACACACACACACACACACACACACACACACACACACACACACAGUCACACAUGCACACACAUACACACAUGCACACACACAUAGACACACAUGCACACACAAUACACACACAUGCACACACAUAUACACACAUACAUACGGACAUACACACAUACACACACGGUCACACAUGCACACACAUACACACAUGUACACACAUAUAUACACAUAUGCACACACAGACACACACACAAACACACACACUUGCACACACACAUAUACAUAUGUACAUGCACACAUAAACACACACCCACACCCACACACUUUUGCAUUCCCAAGGGGCUCUGACUCUGUGGAUAUCUAUUUUCUUGGUGUCUCUAGGACCUAUCACUGGUGGGGCCCUUCCCCCUUAUUCCUGCUCUCUUCCUAUUCAAUUGGUCCAGUCUUUGGGGCUCACUACAUUCUGGAGUUUCUGUAUCUCAUAAGCUCAUGGAUUACUGAAUGUAUCAGUUGAUUCUUAAGUGUUCACUUGUUACUUUGUAUGGUUUUCAGAAAGGAAGACAUUUGGACCUCAGCUGUGGCCAAGUUCCUUUUAAAAGUCAAUUCUGGAUUUUCAUGCUUUGAAAUAUACCUUGUGUAUAGAACAAAAUAGACUCAUUGUAACCUUCUUAAUGUAUUGCAUUUAAGACUUACCAAUGAGAGUUCUUUUUGCUGAAAUAAACAGAAUUAUAUUUUUAAUUAA
This 2081-nucleotide long non-coding RNA is filed under the name Cricetulus griseus (Chinese hamster). RNAcentral's name for it is "lncRNA (ENSCGRG00015023027.2)". The record is from RNAcentral. Lineage: Eukaryota; Metazoa; Chordata; Mammalia; Rodentia; Cricetidae.